Non-coding RNA from Acanthosepion pharaonis, 112 nucleotides. The record is from the annotation of a GenBank genome assembly. Lineage: Eukaryota; Metazoa; Mollusca; Cephalopoda; Sepiida; Sepiidae.
UUACGGUCAUAUCAUGUUGAAAGACCGGUUCUCAUAGAUCACCGAAGUUAAGCAACGUCGAACCUGAUCAGUACUUGGAGGAGUGACCGCUUGGAUAUUCCCAGUGCUGUAA